GGCUUCUUAGUGUAAUGGUAACAUACCUCUUCUCCUUGUGGGGGAGAAGGAGACGGAGGUUCGAUUCCUUCAGAGGUCG
Molecule: non-coding RNA, 79 nt
Organism: Mollisiaceae sp. DMI_Dod_QoI
Lineage: Eukaryota; Fungi; Ascomycota; Leotiomycetes; Helotiales; Mollisiaceae
Source: the annotation of a GenBank genome assembly